Long non-coding RNA from Bos taurus (domestic cattle), 432 nucleotides. NCBI's taxonomy places the organism in Eukaryota, Metazoa, Chordata, Mammalia, Artiodactyla, Bovidae. The record is from Ensembl.
AAUGGGUUGCAGCCUGCUGGGCCAGGGAGUAAUGAGAGGGCUAACUUUCUGUUGAGGUGGUGCAGCAGCCCAAAGCCUAAACUGUGAUUCAGUGAGUUACUAGACAGGUAAUAGACCCACAUACGGCCCACAGAGCCACAGCAAGCUUUCGGAUUGAAACAAAGUUUCUAAUGUUUUAACUGAGUUUCCUAAGGUGGACUGUGUUUAUGAACAAUCAAGCAAACCCCAUCUGUGUUGCUGUUGUCCCUGUCUUUCCUCCAUAACCUGUUCUGUCAGCAUCAGCCAUGCUCCUGAAAACAGACACUUCAGGGAAAAUUAACUGGACACACUCACCUGAGAACUUGGUCCUCUUCUCAAGAAGUAAUUCACCGGAUGCUUGAUUCAAUGUUUAUUUUGUUAUAGCUUCUUUGUAUUUGACCACCAAUUACACCC